This 260-nucleotide ribosomal RNA is filed under the name uncultured bacterium. Its description in RNAcentral is "partial 16S ribosomal RNA". It matches the Rfam family "Bacterial small subunit ribosomal RNA", at positions 92 to 354 of the family's 1533-position model. The record is from RNAcentral.
CGACCGGCGCACGGGUGAGUAACACGUAUGCAACCUGCCCGUCUCAGGGGGAUAAUCGUCGGAAACGGCGUCUAAUACCCCGUAUGAAGCUGGAUGGCAUCGUCUGGUUUUGAAAGAAUAUCGGAGACGGAUGGGCAUGCGGCGCAUUAGCUAGUUGGCGGGGUAACGGCCCACCAAGGCGACGAUGCGUAGGGGUUCUGAGAGGAAGGUCCCCCACACUGGUACUGAGACGCGGACCAGACUCCUACGGAAGGCAGCAG